CUAUGGGGUGAUAUGGGGUGGUUAUGGGGUGGUUAUGGGGUGAUAUGGGGUGGUUAUGGGGUUAUGGGGUGGUUAUGGGGGGAUAUGGGGUGGUUAUGGGGUGAUAUGGGGUGGUUAUGGGGUUAUGGGGUGGUUAUGGGGUGGUUAUGGAGAGGUGGUUAAUGGGGUGGUAUAUGAGGUGGUUAUGGGGCAACUAUUGGCGGUGAUAUGGGGGUGAUUAUGGCGGUGAGUUAUGGGGCGCUAUGGGGUGGUUAUGGGGGGUAUGGGUUGUGAUAUGGGGUGGUUAUGGGGGCGCUAUGGGCGUUGGUUAUGGGUGAUAUGGGGU
Molecule: long non-coding RNA, 325 nt
Filed under: Coturnix japonica (Japanese quail)
Lineage: Eukaryota; Metazoa; Chordata; Aves; Galliformes; Phasianidae
Description: lncRNA (ENSCJPG00005002296.1)
Source: RNAcentral